GGGGGUGUUUUGGAUUCGACAGGCGUGUCAGAACGGACAAAAAGCAUACCGCAGGUUACGUCUGCGAUACCAACGUAAAAUUAAAUUUAAACGCUAAAACGAAUAAAGUUGCCAAAGCUCCGGCUUUCGCGCUUGCCGCUUAAUUUAAUUUAAGCUGUCGGACCGUCCCCUCCGGCGGAGACGUAUCCGGCAUCAAAUAAGCCCGGCUACUUUUUUGCGAAAAGGAUGUAUCGCAAAAAGGACUUUUCAUCCUAUAAGGCUUCCGCCGUCCUGCCGACCGGGCGGAGGGAGCAACCUAAAACCAAAUCGGCUAAGUAUGUAGAAAGUGUCCGCUUUACCCGUUUGAACAGGGGUUCGAUUCCCCUCAUCUCCACCA
Molecule: transfer-messenger RNA, 376 nt
Filed under: Clostridiales bacterium
Lineage: Bacteria; Bacillati; Bacillota; Clostridia; Eubacteriales
Rfam family: transfer-messenger RNA
About the family: Bacterial tmRNA, also known as 10Sa RNA or SsrA, is named for its dual tRNA and mRNA-like properties. Its role is to liberate the mRNA from a stalled ribosome.
Source: RNAcentral